RNAcentral lists this ribosomal RNA (450 nucleotides) under uncultured bacterium. RNAcentral's name for it is "partial 16S ribosomal RNA". It matches the Rfam family "Bacterial small subunit ribosomal RNA", at positions 338 to 795 of the family's 1533-position model. The record is from RNAcentral.
CCUACGGGUGGCUGCAGUAGGGAAUAUUGGACAAUGGAGGAAACUCUGAUCCAGCCAUCCCGCGUGAAGGAUUAAGGUCCUAUGGAUUGUAAACUUCUUUUCUUUGGGAAUAAAAUCUCCGAUUCCUCGGAGCUUGAAGGUACCAGGGGAAUAAGCACCGGCUAACUCCGUGCCAGCAGCCGCGGUAAUACGGAGGGUGCAAGCGUUACCCGGAUUCACGGGUGCGAAAGGGUGCGUAGGUGGUUGUGUAGAAAGCCUACAGCUUAACUGUAGAAUUGCCAUUGAUACUGCGUAACUUGAAUCAAGUCGAAGUGGAUGGAAUAGAUCAUGUAGCGGUGAAAUGCUUAGAUAUGAUUUAGAACACCAAUUGCGAAGGCAGUUCACUAGGCUUGUAUUGACACUGAGGCACGAAAGCGUGGGGAUCAAACAGGAUUAGAUACCCCAGUAGUC